UACGUAGGGUCCGAGCGUUGUCCGGAAUUAUUGGGCGUAAAGAGCUCGUAGGCGGUCUGUCGCGUCGGCUGUGAAAACACGGGGCUCAACUCCGUGCCUGCAGUCGAUACGGGCAGACUAGAGUUCGGUAGGGGAGACUGGAAUUCCUGGUGUAGCGGUGAAAUGCGCAGAUAUCAGGAGGAACACCGGUGGCGAAGGCGGGUCUCUGGACAGUUCCUGACGCUGAGGGACGAAAGCUAGGGGAGCAAACGAG
This 253-nucleotide ribosomal RNA is filed under the name uncultured bacterium. Its description in RNAcentral is "partial 16S ribosomal RNA". It matches the Rfam family "Bacterial small subunit ribosomal RNA", at positions 524 to 776 of the family's 1533-position model. The record is from RNAcentral.